AAGAGUCCUCGUUAGGCCAGGCGUCUACGCAAACAUACGCCGCUGCCCCGAAACGUCGAAAGACGCCAAGGGGUCACAAGGUUUGGCCCGCUUAAGGCUUUACCUAAUGCGGCUGAAACGCAGGUUUCUACGUUGCGCAGUGCCAAAGCUCGACUAGGAGGAUGCGC
Molecule: small RNA, 167 nt
Filed under: Candidatus Hydrogenisulfobacillus filiaventi
Lineage: Bacteria; Bacillati; Bacillota; Clostridia; Eubacteriales; Clostridiales Family XVII. Incertae Sedis
Description: M-box riboswitch aptamer (ykoK leader)
Rfam family: M-box riboswitch aptamer (ykoK leader)
About the family: M-box riboswitch, also know as ykoK leader is described as a metaloregulatory RNA that sense divalent metals and function as a genetic control element of genes related to divalent metal transport in bacteria. It was first reported upstream of the B.subtilis ykoK gene and genes with related functions in other bacteria.
Source: Rfam by way of RNAcentral